CGCUUCCCACUUCCGCCCCCUCUGCCUGCCAUUGGAACUAGCAAAGCCGAACAAGUUGCGGCCGCGGAAAGCCGGCGCUCUUCUCCUUCUCUUCUCCUUCUCUUCCUCCCGCCUUUCUUCUUCCCAGGCCGUCGCCGCUGUCGCCCCGAGGUUUCGCGAUCGCCUAGUCCGCAGCCCACGCCGCGGCCGACAUGAGCUUCUUGUUUGGUAGUCGCUCCUCUAAAACUUUUAAACCAAAGAAGAACAUUCCAGAGGGUUCUCACCAGUAUGAGCUCUUAAAACAUGCAGAAGCCACACUUGGCAGUGGUAACCUCCGGAUGGCUGUCAUGCUUCCUGAGGGGGAAGAUCUAAAUGAGUGGGUUGCAGUGAACACUGUGGAUUUUUUCAAUCAGAUCAACAUGCUUUAUGGAACCAUCACGGACUUCUGUACAGAGGAGAGUUGUCCGGUGAUGUCUGCUGGCCCAAAAUAUGAGUAUCACUGGGCAGAUGGAACAAACAUAAAGAAGCCUAUUAAGUGCUCUGCACCGAAGUAUAUUGAUUACCUGAUGACUUGGGUUCAAGAUCAGUUGGAUGAUGAGACGUUAUUUCCAUCAAAAAUUGGUGUUCCAUUCCCAAAGAACUUCAUGUCUGUGGCAAAAACUAUACUCAAACGCCUUUUUAGAGUAUAUGCUCACAUUUAUCAUCAACAUUUUGACCCUGUGAUCCAACUUCAGGAGGAAGCACAUCUCAAUACAUCCUUCAAGCACUUUAUUUUUUUUGUCCAGGAAUUCAACCUUAUCGAUAGAAGAGAACUUGCACCACUCCAAGAACUGAUUGAAAAACUCACCUCAAAGGAUAGAUAAAAGGAUGCAGAGCUAUGCAAAUUGUUCCUCAAAUGAAACUGUGUGGAGUGUAUUUGAAUUUUUGUUGUAUUUUGUUGUGUUUGUCUGAGUUGUUUUUGUCUUAGUUUUGAGAGGCUUGUUUGGAUUCCCUUUUCUUUAUUCUGAAUAAAUGAAACCAUAGAUUUUUUGCUAGACACAGCCAAGAACCAUUUCCUAUACAUUCAGUAGGAGUAAAUUUUGUCUUAGUGUCAUGCAUUUUUUUUCACUUAGUUUUGGUUAUUCGAGGCAUUCUUGAUAAUAUUGUGUUUUGAGAGAAAAUGCUUAUUGAUUGAACUGCUGAUAGAUGGGGUUCUGUGUUGUGUAAAUUGUAGCCCAUUUAUGAAGUCCCCAAAAGACUUAUGUUUUUAAGUGCCUUGGCAGGCUCACUUCUGAGGUGCAAAGCACAGAUAUAGAACUGUACAGGACUCAAUAUUAGAACUACUACCCAGGGCACUUACUGAUGCAUAUUUAAAAAUAUCUGUGAUAAAAGCCAUAGUUUACCUAAAUUGGUGAUCUCCAGCUUUUACUACAUUGAAGAAACAUAAUUUGUAAAGGUGUGCAUGCAGAACAUAAAAAAAUUAGUAUUUCUUAAUUAUUUUUUAUAGUGAUGGUAAUACAUUCUGUUCAGCAAAUGCUUCAAGUUUCUACAAGCGGAUCUUUUUCCGUUCCUUGGUAUCUGUGAUAUUGAAAUUUGAGGAUGUUAGAAUGUAAUACCUUUUGCAUUUUGGCUCCUUUCUACAUGUUAACUGCACUGUAGGUAUAAAAAUUCAAGUUAUAUUUAGGAUUGCCAUCUUUGGAGGUGAUGCCGAACUGUGAGGUUUCUUAGCAAUUGCCAAAUGAGCCAUAAGUCUGCAGAAUCCCCUUUUAAUUUGAAGAGGAGGGAUAGGUGUGUGUUUCUUUGGAGGGUUAGUUUGUAUUGGGUGGGGGUGGGGUGAUGGUUAGCGUGGGAUUAAGUAUAAGGAGACAGGUUCAAGAAGGUCCUGUCUUAAACCCUUGAUUAGAAUGGCAUGAAGGUUUAAUCUAUUACUUAAAAACAAAGUAUUGGAGACAACCUUAGGAAUCAACUUCCAUGAGAAGUUAAAAAUAAAUUAAUUUUUAGGUACAGACAUUAAAAAUGGAAUUUAGGGAAUUUAAUCACUUUUCAGCAUUUCCAUUCAGUGAAUGGAGCUGGUGUUUGCCUGUCAUUUAAAAAUGAUACAGUGCAUCAUUUGCUUUUAUAUUAUAGGCCCAAUUUGAAGCAUUCUGACUUCCGAUUGUUCCAUUGUGAAAGAAAUCUUUUUCUUCACAGUGAUAUUAAACCAUGAAAAUGCUAAUUUAGUAAACUUCUAAGCUUUAUUUGUCAUGACUUUCUAAUAAAUUAUUCCUGUAAAUAAGUCCAGAAACUUAGUUUUAAAAAUAAUUAGUAACACUUUUCAGUUGUUUUUCUUGAGACUUCCAGUUUAAUUUUGUCGUAUCUGACAAACCUACUUCCUUCCAUUAGAAAUAUAUCUUCUUUGUAGAAUAAAAAUGCUUGCUCUGAAGUUGUAUAAACUAAGAACACUUAGUAGAAAAGAAUCUAAAAUGAAAUCAGUUUGUUUUUGCCAUCACUAGGUAGAGAAGUUAUAUGAUUUAAUGCCAUUACAAUUAUGAUCACUAGGAACUGCCUUUUUCUCAUUUUCAUUUCUAGCCAUCAUUCACCAGUACUAACAGUAAAAAGUAACAGGAGAACCCUGGCAGAGGCAGAUAUAUUGGGCAUUGAUUAGUAAAGAUUAUUUAUAAACUGCAGUUAGAACUAGCUGAUUUCCUUAAAACAGAUCUCUUAGUACCUAUACAGAUAAUAUCAACAACUAUGGGUUGAUUCAGAAACAAAAUUUGGUGUCAAGUGAUUUUGAGUCUUGUCUAUAUGGGAAAAUGAAGCACACAAUUAUUCACAUUUCUUCCAUAAUGUAUCUGACUUCAUAUCAACCUAAUAAAGGAGUUGCAAUAGCCAAGUAGAGUACAGUUAAAACUUGUUCUUGCUCUAGUAAGGCUUAUACAUUAGUACACUGUAAAAAUGGGAAAAUGUUUCUAUAUAUUAACAUUUAGAAGUUGGACUUGUCUUCCCAGUAUAUGUAGAUGGGAGGUGUUUUCACUGUGCCAGAAUCCCAGGUGCCUGUCUCUGAGUAUUCCUUUUAUCAGAGUUAUUAUGAGUUAAGGAAAUAAAUACAUGUGUAUGUAUGGUAACAAAAUAUAGACGUUCUCACCAGACAGAGGCAUGACAUCAUGCUUGUUACAUGCUACAAGUAGGCAGACACUCUUCCAGAACAUAUGAGAAAUAACUGAUUUAAUAAAAAAUUGCUUUGAUUUGUCUGGUUCCUAUGAGAGUUACUAAGAUGCCCUUUAUAAAAUAAGGAUCAAAGCUUGGGUUUACAGCAUAGCUUGAUUAUGUUUAUUGGAUUCUCUUCACAUCUUUUAAUUUAAUUUAUAAAUAAGCCAGAUAAUUAUUUUCCCCCUUGCUCUUUAUACAGGGAUAUAAAGCAGAAGUUAGUUUUCUCAUGUUCUGAUAAAAACACUCCAUAAAAUAUAAAGUAGUAAGUUAACACAGUAUUAAUGUUGCAUAUAAUGCUUUGAUUAAAUGUUGAUAUGAAGCAAAUUUUGGGAAUUAUUUUAAGUGACAGAGUGGUGGUGGUGGAGGGAAAUUAACAGGAAAAGUGAAAAUCGUUUAGUUAUCAGCAGAUGGUGCUACUGGUUUUCAUUUACUAACUUUAUUAUUCUGUUUCCCAUAGAAACCAUGGCAUUAGACUGCACUAAAACACUAAACGUGUGUUAGCUAGUGAAGGCUUUGGAGGUCAAUUUAGCUUAAACUGAAAUAUUUUAGAUUGCUAUCUCUUACUACCUUACCUCUGUCAUUUGUAAAUUCUAAGUGGUCAGCAUAAAAUGUAUCAGGUAAGAGAAUAUGUGUUAAGUGCAUAAUAUAUCGCAGGCUGAGUUACUGCCUGGUUUAUUAGAAAAGAUAAAGCACUAUAAUCUCUUACAUUCAGGAAAUAGUGCUGAUGUGGAUAUUUAUAUUUUACAUUUAAUCCCCCCAGACUCCUUUUUAUCUAUUAGUAUUUUCCUUGCUUAUGGGAAAUAGAAAAAUGAGAGAUUUUGUUUAUACUUUUUCUACUCCCUCUCUGAGAGAGGUUUUGAUAACCACUGAAAUGACAGAAUAUGUGAGAUGCAAUUAUUAAGUUGUAGGACUUAUAAAAUAUGUCAUACCUUAAAACAUCUAAAUGAAAGUUGAUCUUUAGUGUGGUUCCCUUGGGUGCACUUUUAUUCUAACUAUGCUGUGAAAGUAUAAUGUUUUUAGAACUCUUUUAGAGUUGCCUUGAGAAUCAGUUUAUGACUAUGCAAAAAAAAUCAGUUUCAUCAUUUUAGUUGCACCAAAAACUUUUAUGCCUCCUAAUAUAACCUUGUCUUAUUCACCAAUCUAGCUCUUGACUGUUUUCUGAAAACUAAACAAUUAGAACAGUUUAAAACAAUGUGCCAAAUGCUCUGAAUUUGCAGAAGAGAAUGUUUUGAGCAUGAGUAGCAUCAUUUGAAUAAAGGAGUGGUUUCCUGAUUUCACUACUCUGAAGGGAACAGUAUCAUUUGAAUGGACAGGUUUUACUUUUUUAAAAUUCAGUUUUAUUACCUUACAGUUAAAUAGUUAAAUAUAAUAAUUUUUUAAAAAUCAAGAUGUUUCUCCAGAAUUUGUUUUCUGUUUUUUGUUCUUUGCCUAAAAACUUUUGAAUUCUAUCUGGACUAUGAUAGGGCAGUUUUGAUUUAGGAAAUAGUAUGGAAAAUUGGAUAGAAUAUUUCAUAUAGAAGUAGCUAAAGGAAACAACAACCCAAGCAGCCUUUAACUCCCUCACCUUAGAAAAAAAUGUUUUCAUUCAAAUGAAUGAUUAGACUUUAAUAAAAGACUGAAGAUCAUUAGACAAAGAAAUUGGAAUAAGUUUUACCUAUUAAUUGUGCUGAGCUUUAAGCCUGCAUAUCACAGGUGAAAUAUUUAUAAUUUGAAUAUAUGACUGCUUGAAAAGAGGGAAACAUCUUUUUUUUUUUUGAAGCUUAACUGAGAUGUUAAGAAUAUACCAACUCUUAGAAACACCAUUUUAGAUCUGUACUUUAAGGACCAUUCCUAAAAUAAUUUAAAUAUCAGAGUUUCAUCAUAAUGUUAAGAUUCACAGUAGGACUUGCUGUUGAUCAGUUUCUCAGUUAGAAAUGAGAGGGUAAAUGUUCAGAGGUAAAGCUACCUCAAGAGUUAAUGGAAAAGUUUAAGAUGUAACAAAAAGUUAUCUGCAGAUGAUUUUAAUUUUUAAGACUUUCCUAAUAAGCUAAUCAUAGAGAAGUGUUUGUUUUGAAGGUGUAAAACUGUGUUCCUGCUUUCUGUUAACUGGUAGCUGAACUGUACUUAACAAGUUUGGUGAAAGAGAUAAAAAAUAGAUCAAAAUAUUGAGUACUCUCAGUUUUGCAAGUGUGAUGCAAGUUGUUGUUUUUUCCCUGCGUAUAGUACUAUCCAGUAAAAAACUUUGGACAACAAUUCUCAAAGAUAGUAAAAUCACUGGCCUGGCCUUUUUCAGCUGUACAUUUACCUGUCUUCUCCUUCCUGGAAGUAAAUUGCUUCCUUGCUGCUAUUGACUUCCCAUAUCUCCCCAUUCCUUUCCUCUACCCCUCUGCCUUUCAGAACAAAAGAGUUAGGUUGAUUGUGCCAGUCUUCAUUGUUAGUGAUUCCAAAGUACUCUCAAUACACAGGUUUUAGGCAAAAUGUUGGAAGAUGCAACUAAUAAAAGCAUUUUGUUUUGAUUAA
RNA transcript from Choloepus didactylus (southern two-toed sloth), 5646 nucleotides. It is a transcript of the gene named MOB kinase activator 1B, with no coding region annotated. The record is from RefSeq and is a predicted model, not a curated record. Lineage: Eukaryota; Metazoa; Chordata; Mammalia; Pilosa; Megalonychidae. The transcript is spliced from 7 exons.